Molecule: ribosomal RNA, 500 nt
Filed under: uncultured bacterium
Lineage: Bacteria
Description: partial 16S ribosomal RNA
Rfam family: Bacterial small subunit ribosomal RNA
Source: RNAcentral
AUUGAACGCUGGCGGCAUGCCUUACACAUGCAAGUCGAACGGCAGCACGGGAGCAAUCCUGGUGGCGAGUGGCGAACGGGUGAGUGAAGUAUCGGAACGUGCCCAGUCGUGGGGGAUAACGUAGCGAAAGUUACGCUAAUACCGCAUACGAUCUAUGGAUGAAAGCGGGGGAUCGCAAGACCUCGCGCGAUUGGAGCGGCCGAUAUCAGAUUAGGUAGUUGGUGGGGUAAAGGCUCACCAAGCCGACGAUCUGUAGCUGGUCUGAGAGGACGACCAGCCACGCUGGGACGGAGACACGGCCCAGAGUCCUACGGGAGGCAGCAGUGGGGAAUUUUGGACAAUGGGCGAAAGCCUGAUCCAGCAAUGCCGCGUGCAGGAUGAAGGCCUUCGGGUUGUAAACUGCUUUUGUACGGAACGAAAAAGCUCCUUCUAAUACAGGGGGCCCAUGACGGUACCGUAAGAAUAAGCACCGGCUAACUACGUGCCAGCAGCCGCCGUAA